UUUCCGUAGGUGAACCUGCGGAAGGAUCAUUACUGAGUGAGGGCCCCUCGGGGUCCAACCUCCCACCCGUGUUUAACGAACCUUGUUGCUUCGGCGGGCCCGCCUCACGGCCGCCGGGGGGCAUCUGCCCCCGGGCCCGCCCCCGCCGAAGCCACCUGUGAACGCUGUCUGAAGUAUGCAGUCUGAGACAAUUAUUAAAUUAAUUAAAACUUUCAACAACGGAUCUCUUGGUUCCG
Molecule: unclassified non-coding RNA, 236 nt
Filed under: plant metagenome
Description: partial contains small subunit ribosomal RNA, internal transcribed spacer 1, and 5.8S ribosomal RNA
Source: RNAcentral